CCCUCCCCCGCCCCCUGCCUCACUGUCCUCCCUCUCCCCAAAUACCCGCCUCCGCUUUCAUGCCGCUGGACUCUUGAGAGCCAUGGAGGCUGCCUGAGCUCUGCACGUCAUGGAGGGAAGGGCGGUGCUGGCCCGCUAUGAGUUCUGGGAAAGGCUGCAUAGGUCAAGCUCAAGUCCAGCACACUGAGGCUGAAUGGUGGAAUACGUGGCCCAGGUCAGACCAGUGGGGACAAGCAGGAGUUUACACGAUCCACAGUGGUGUUCCUGUCACUGGUUCAGAAGAGGCAUGGCACGUGGGGAGCGUCCUGAGAAUCUCACCAGACUCUACUUGGUUCAAGGAUCCAGAGGGGGUGACUCCGGCCCUCAACAAACUCAAGAGUGAUGAGGAAAUAAAGCAGGAUAGAAUCUGUGCCCCCGCUGCCCUGGUGGAGGGAGUAUCUCCAAGGCUCAGGACAGUGCAGGUAGGGGUAACCAAGGGACCCGUGAGGGGAGUCGCUCCCCCGAAACAGAUGUCACAUUUACAUAUUCAACAGUAAUGCAUGCUCUUCAAACCCAAUAUACAUGUAUAUCUACACACACACACACACACACCACACACACACACACACACACACGCUGAGGUAAAGAAAUCAAAAAGUGGGGUUGGGGAUUUAGCUCAGUGGUAGAGCGCUUGCCUAGCAAGCGCAAGGCCCUGGGUUCGGUCCCCAGCUCCGAAAAAAAAAGAAAAAAAAGAAAAAGAAAUCAAAAAGUGUCUACACAUAUUUUAUCUCCCACUGCCUAGUAAGGAUUAAAGACAUGCGACACAUGGUUUUCAAAAAUGAUAAAUUAAGUGGAAUAUCUGGGUCAAAGAGCAUGCACAUUUUUAAGGAUAGAACACACACACUCACACGUGCACACACAUACACACACAUACACACACACACACACACACACACAACCCUGUGUCAGAAAUUAUUUUAACAAGGAAAAUGAGACAACACAGAAAUACGAAGCACUUUUUAACCCAGUGGCUGCACACGUGGCCCUGGUUAAACUAAGUCAGUCAUAAAACAAAAUCCGGACUUAUGGACCUUUGAGAUGGAGUGGUAGGUAUUGGUGGUGGAUAAGAGAGAGGGGGGGGAGUUAAUCAGAAUCUGUGUAUACACACCAUUAAGCAACAAAAUGAACAAGUAGAGGCUAGUUUUAAGAUAUUUGUUUUUACUUUUGUUUCCUGAGAAGUUUGUACUCUUUCCUUCUGUUUUAGUCAUUACCAUACUGAAGUACCUGAGGCUGGAUAACUUUAUAAGGAAAAGAGGUGAGCGGGGUAGUCUUAGCUCUCCAACAGAUGGAAAGCUAAGAUCACAAAGUCGCCUCUUGUGGACCAGUGCUAAGCCUAGCUGAUGCCUGUUCCUUCUGUCACCACUAAACUAAUGAGUUCGCUGAAGCCCAGAGAGGUGAAGACACACGCUGGAGGCCACACAGCUGUGAGCAGCAAGGGGAGUGUGCGAGCCGAUUACUCAUGGCUGUAAGCGCCUGUCUUUCAUCCAAUGCAAUGACGGUUCUAAUUAACACAUGAGGUUCUAUCCCAUCCCCACCCCAAGUCUGAUGACAUAGCCAUGUGCCUUAGACCAGCGUGGCCUCCAGAUUUUUCCACAAAAGUUUCCAGUUAUAUGCAUAGCGGCCUGAAGAAUACCCUCCCGUGUUUAGUCAGGCUAAACCAUCACUUCUUACAGUUAUGAAUUAUGGGUCUGGUUUGGGGUGCAGCUGUGGGGGUAUGUCAAUUACUGGCAAAAGCAACUUAAGGAAGAAAGUUAUUAGGGUUCCCAGUUCAAGGCAGGAGACAAAAAGGGUAGAGGGUAGAGAGGGGUAGGUGUGUUCAACAAAAUGAGAGAUUCGUGGAAAAGGUUUAUGGAAACUUGCCAGUUAGUAAGCUAAUUUCAAACUACAAAUUAAAAACAAAACGUUUAUACAGAAUUCUUGUGCAUGAGUGAGCAAAGUCCCCGCCAGCAGACACGAGUUAUUAAAUGAACAUCGCAGUGCAAGGCAUGGGUAUGACGCCUCCCUGUGAGUUAGUCAGGGAGGCCCCAGAAGUCUCCAAAAUAACACAGGCUGUUGUCAUGGCCUUUGGAUGCUUCCCUCCCUCAUAACUAUAUGGCAAGGCCCUGCUGGCUGAAGACGCUGUACACUUUGGCUGAAGGACACAGAGAAGUUUCAAACUGACAGAGAAGCUUCCUCCCUGAUGGCUACCUUCCAUAGUGCCAGAUGGUGCCAUGCAAGUUGAUGGGAGUCCAAAGCCACCAGCGGUAUUGCCCAGCACGGGACACUGCACGCUGCAGCUGCAGCAUGAA
This is a non-coding RNA of Rattus norvegicus (Norway rat), 2327 nucleotides long. Lineage: Eukaryota; Metazoa; Chordata; Mammalia; Rodentia; Muridae. The record is from RefSeq and is a predicted model, not a curated record.